AGAACGAACGCUGGCGGCAUGCCUAAUACAUGCAAGUCGAACGAACUCUUCGGUGUUAGUGGCGCACGGGUGCGUAACGCGUGGGAAUCUGCCCUUGGUUCGGAAUAACAGUUGGAAACGACUGCUAAUACCGGAUGAUGACGAAAGUCCAAAGAUUUAUCGCCAAGGGAUGAGCCCGCGUAGGAUUAGCUAGUUGGUGAGGUAAAGGCUCACCAAGGCAACGAUCCUUAGCUGGUCUGAGAGGAUGAUCAGCCACACUGGGACUGAGACACGGCCCAGACUCCUACGGGAGCAGCAGUAGGGAAUAGUUGGACAAGUGGGCGAACGACGCGUAGUACACGAGACUA
RNAcentral lists this ribosomal RNA (347 nucleotides) under uncultured soil bacterium. Its description in RNAcentral is "bacterial SSU rRNA". It matches the Rfam family "Bacterial small subunit ribosomal RNA", at positions 26 to 416 of the family's 1533-position model. The record is from RNAcentral.